AAAGGAUGUGGAGAAGGAAGCGGAACAACUGCUCUACCUGCUGGUAACCAGGCCCCGCCCUGAUGACUGCUGAAAGGCUGACUGACACUCUCGUUAAAAACAGAAGGAAAAGGAGUGUUUAAAAGUCAACACUACAUGACCUGCUCCACAUCUACUGUCGUUUUUCCCAGUGCAGUGUGCACCACAACAAAGCUUUACUGGAAGUCAGAGUUGCGUAACUCUUGAUGCACGACAUCAGAUUAUUUGCUGUGGAAUUACUGAAGUAUCUGUCUGAUGGAGGGACAGUGAUUGAACUGAUGGAGUCAGUGCUCCGUGUACUGUAAUACAACAAAAUUACGAACAGUAAGUGAUGACUUCACCCACUGUUGAUCUGAUACCUGACUCCGACUCUGAUGCUAAUCUUACACACAGUCUUGUUCCUCUCUCACUCUCUGUAGAAUGAGGAAGUAUAGCUAAAGUGCUGGGGUCAAAGGUGACGGUGGUUGCCAUGGCAAACUCCUUUCAGGUCAGUAUCAGGGGGUCUUAUCAGUGGUAUUCCUAACUUCUUUACCUGACUGUGCUUAGAUCAAUGUGGAUCUCUGUCACAUUCCAACCCACAGUGGGUUGAUUGAGUCCAAAAAUGUAUGGAAAAGAAUUAACCAGAAUAACUAUAGAACGGAAAGAUGUUUAUUUGAGAUAUUAACUUCUCUAUUUGUCUGAUCAUUAACCCAAAAACCUUUCCUAAUGAUGCCUACAGAGUCCUACUAAUCACCACAGAUGCAGGUUCUCUUUGUCUACA
Molecule: long non-coding RNA, 778 nt
Organism: Cynoglossus semilaevis (tongue sole)
Lineage: Eukaryota; Metazoa; Chordata; Actinopteri; Pleuronectiformes; Cynoglossidae
Exons: 3
Source: RefSeq, a predicted model, not a curated record